GUCUGGGAGAAUAUUUCCAGUUCAGCUACUUUGGACUUAAAUUUGUAAUUCACUUUCAAUUCGUUUGGAAUGUCCGACAAUUCUCAUAACACAUUCAGUGAUUUAACCAUUGAUGACUUUUCAAACAUCUCAAAAAUAUUCUAGUAUAAUACUCACCGUUCUUUGUCCUGUUUUUUCGAGCAGAUAUUGCAUAAUCUUUUCUGCGUCAUUCUGGUCAUUGACAGAAAGAACUUCAAA
Non-coding RNA from Pelobates cultripes (western spadefoot toad), 237 nucleotides. The record is from the annotation of a GenBank genome assembly. NCBI's taxonomy places the organism in Eukaryota, Metazoa, Chordata, Amphibia, Anura, Pelobatidae.